UGAGGUGUGUUCCACAUAUUAGAGUUUUAUUUGUCUUGGGUUUCGUUACAUCAAACCGUUAAGGCAGAGGACAAACCGGUCAGUCAAACCGUUAAGGCAGAGGACAAACCGGUCAGUCAAACCGUUAAGGCAGAGGACAAACCGGUCAGUCAAACCGUUAAGGCAGAGGACAACCCGGUCAGUCAAACCGUUAAGGCAGAGGACAAACCGGUCAGUCAAACCGUUAAGGCAGAGGACAAACCGGUCAGUCAAACCGUUAAGGCAGAGAAGGGAAACAGUCAGUCAAACCCGUUAAGGCAGAGGACAAACCGGUCAGUCAAACCGUUAAGGCAGAGGACAAACCGGUCAGUCAAACCGUUAAGGCAGAGGACAAACCGGUCAGUCAAACCGUUAAGGCAGAGGACAAACCGGUCAGUCAAACCGUUAAGGCAGAGAAGGAAACAGUCAGUCAAACCGUUAAGACAGAGAACAAACCGGUCAGUCAAACCGUUAAGGCAGAGGACAAACCGGUCAGUCAAACCGUUAAGGCAGAGGACAAACCGGUCAGUCAAACCGUUAAGGCAGAGAAGGGAAACAGUCAGUUUUGCAGGUCAGCGGUCAAGUUUUCAAGAUAAAGGAUGAUGAUGUGGUAGAUUGACAUCUCUUCUUGAAUUUCCUUCAUCUUGACAAGCCGACCUGCGACACAUUCUGGGAUUGUAACAACAGUGGACUCACGGAAAAAAAAAAAGCAGAAUAGUUUGAGUUGGGUUUUUUUUUUUGUUCUUCCCUACAAAACGUUGAGAAAAGGAGAUGGGAAGUUUAUUCAACAGGGUGCAACAGCAGAGGGGGAAAAAGGCAAUCCAGCAGUGAGAACCAUCGGACCCCCGGUCUUCUAAAGUUCCUCCAGACCAGGCAUGGGGAACCUCCCCGAAAGCUUCCACCUCGCCCCUCAGCUCUGCUACCCGUUCCUGGUGCUUCGCCUCCCCUGCAAGGGCCUCCUUAAACUCCUUCAGGGUGGCCUUGGGCUGCAGAGAUGCCUGGACGUCCAGGGGUAAUCUGGAUACCUGUAGGGAGAACGAGGGGUUGAGAGGUCAGGGGUUAGAGGUGGCCUUGGGCUGCAGAGAGGCCUGGACGUCCAGGGUAAUCUGGAUACCUGUAGGGAGAACGAGGGGUUGAGAGGUCAGGGGUUAGAGGUGGCCUUGGGCUGCAGAGAGGCCUGGACGUCCAGGGUAAUCUGGAUAACCUGUAGGGAGAACGAGGGGUUGAGAGGUCAGGGGUUAGAGGUGGCC
Molecule: long non-coding RNA, 1268 nt
Filed under: Salmo salar (Atlantic salmon)
Lineage: Eukaryota; Metazoa; Chordata; Actinopteri; Salmoniformes; Salmonidae
Description: lncRNA (ENSSSAG00000085037.1)
Source: RNAcentral